Molecule: long non-coding RNA, 1404 nt
Organism: Oncorhynchus tshawytscha (Chinook salmon)
Lineage: Eukaryota; Metazoa; Chordata; Actinopteri; Salmoniformes; Salmonidae
Source: Ensembl
CCUCUCUUCUCACGCUAUGAUGAUGGGAAAGCAGAGCUCCAUUCCAGGGACCUCGACAAUAACAGUGGUUCACUACAGCUCUGAUGACAGAGAACUAGAGAAGCGUGGAGGAACUGGAGUCCAUGGCACGCUAACCUUCAUAAACAACCUAUUUAACUGCUGCUUUUGGUAACUGCUUGUCGUGUGUGUGUGUGUGUGUGUGUGUGUGUGUGUGUGUGUGUGUGUGUGAGAGAGAGAUUCCCUCUACUGCAUUGAAGGGGUACAGAAUGAUUUGUUCAUAGAAGACAUGGUGUGGAGAACCUUUCCCGAGUCCCGACAGCAUCCUGUUAAACUGUAAAGUACAGAGCUUUAUCAGCAUCUCAGGCCCAUCUAACCUGUCACUGAUCAGAACACGAUGACGGCAGGUUAGUGUCAUCUUACUGCAGCUAAUCUACUUCAUCAGUGUAGAUGGUCGACUAGACCAGUAGCUACAGUUCAUAGUGGCUGCCGGCUCAGUCUCCGGGUCAGUCUCGGGCUCAGUCUCCGGGCUCAGUCUCCGGGCUCAGUCUCCGGGCUCAGUCUCCGGGCUCAGUCUCCGGGGUCAGUCUCCGGGUCAGUCUCCGGGUCAGUCUCCGGGUCAGUCUCGGGGGUCAGUCUCCGGGGGUCAGUCUCCGGGUCAGUCUCAGUCUCCGGGUCAGUCUCCGGGGUCAGUCUCUCCGGGUCAGUCUCUGGGUCAGUGUCAGUCUCAGUCUCUGGCUCAGUCUCCGGCUCAGUCUCCGGCUCAGUCUCCGGCUCAGUCUCCGGCUCGGGCUCAUCUCCGGGCUCAGUCUCGGGCUCAGUCUCGGGCUCAGUCUCCGGGCUCAGUCUCCGGGUCAGUCUCCGGGUCAGUCUCCGGGUCAGUCUCGGGUCAGGCUCAGUCUCAGUCUCUGGGUCAGGCUCAGUCUCCGGCUCAGUCUCCGGGUCAGUCUCCGGGUCAGUCUCCGGCUCAGGCUCAGUCUCCGGCUCAGUCUCCGGCUCAGUCUCCGGCUCAGUCUCGGUCUCCGGGUCAGUCUCCCCUGUCUGUCAGCCAGGCUUGGAGACCCUCUGUCCUCCAUGUCUCUGGUCUCCUAUGGGGCCCCUGGCCUGCUGCUCCUGGAGCCCCUGGGUGAUGUAGGCCUCCAGCAGCAGCAGCAGAGUGGGUAACAUGCUGUCCAGUAAGGCCAGGCCCUGCCACGAGCACCGCAGACCCCUACACACAAGACAAAAGAGCUUGUCAGGACCCCCAGGGGUGCACGUUUUGGCCCCUACCACCUCACAGCUGGUUCAAAUAGACUCGGAGAUACAGACACGGAGAUACAACUACUGGGCCCACUUUAAACAAACUACAAGUUAUAAGGCUUAGAAGACCUAUCUGUUGAAGGUCUGGGUUACCUGUCAUCCAGGAUU